Molecule: ribosomal RNA, 252 nt
Filed under: uncultured bacterium
Lineage: Bacteria
Description: partial 16S ribosomal RNA
Rfam family: Bacterial small subunit ribosomal RNA
Source: RNAcentral
UACGUAGGGGGCAAGCGUUGUCCGGAAUUAUUGGGCGUAAAGCGCGCGCAGGCGGUGGUUUAAGUCUGGUGUCUAAGCUCAAGGCUCAACCUUGGGACGCAUUGGAAACUGGACGACUGGAGUGUAGGAGAGGAAAGUGGAAUUCCACGUGUAGCGGUGAAAUGCGUAGAGAUGUGGAGGAACACCAGUGGCGAAGGCGACUUUCUGGCCUAUAACUGACGCUGAGGCGCGAAAGCGUGGGGAGCAAACAGG